Molecule: unclassified non-coding RNA, 374 nt
Filed under: soil metagenome
Description: partial contains internal transcribed spacer 2 and large subunit ribosomal RNA
Rfam family: 5.8S ribosomal RNA (bases 1-120)
Source: RNAcentral
GAUGAAGAACGUAGCGAAAUGCGAUAAUUAAUGUGAAUUGCAGAAUUCCGUGAAUCAUCGAGUCUUUGAACGCACAUUGCGCCUCAUGGCAUUCCGUGAGGCAUGCCCAUCUCAGCGUUAGAAAAUAUUCUCAAAUUUUAGUUUUGUGCUAAAAUUUGGAUCAUGUCAAGGAAGCUAUUACUAUUAUUGUGAUCGCUCUUUGGAAAUUGAUAGGUCUUUGAGUUGCUACUCAUAGAACGUGAUGAAUCUUUCUUCGUUCUAUUGUAAUUCACUCUGGUAGUCCUAAAACUUGUAUGCCUGUGGCAUAUCUUGUAAUUUGACCUGAGAUUGGGUAGGGAUACCCGCUGAACUUAAGCAUAUCAAUAAGCGGAGGA